AUCAGCUUGCACAUCCAUGCAGUCUGAAUCAUGAUCUGCACUGUUUGCUAUUCAGUCAAUCAAUUUUCAGUAAACACUCCUUCAAAUGAUAAAUGGUACUGCCAAAAUUUGAAGAUGGACCAGUCCAUUACAGAAAUUUAGCAUGGUAAGGGUUACGCAGUCCUAUAGUGUUGUUGCCAUGGCUGGCUGCUAGCUUAAUACAGGUUCGACUAUACUAUAUCUUUGUCUAUUUCUAGUCAGAUGUGUGAAGUGUUUUGAUUAUAUUUACUGUAUUGUUAAUGUAGUAGAAGUUUGUAAGGUUUAUGUAGUAUAUAAUACAAUAUAAUAUUUUAUGUAUGAAUUAUUAGGUGAAGGCAUCACCACUGCAGUUUGUUCAAAGAAUUAUUUGCUUGUGGUUUGUAAUAGAAACAAAAAAAAAAUGGAGAAAUUAUUACUGUGGCAAAUUUGUUACCAGUGCAGCCCCUGCUUUGAUGUAUUUAAGAAAUGAUAUAUCCCAAACAGUGAUUUGUCAUUGAAUAAAACAUUCUUUGGAGUUAAGAUGCUAAGGAAUUGUUUAAGAUAUAUUAUUAAUUUUCAAUUUUAACAUGAUAUCAAGGGCUAUUAUUUACACCCUUUGACAACAGUCCCACAAAACUAGCCAGUUUAAUGUGGUUUUAUUUUCCAGCACCCGUUAUGACAUUUAAACACAAUGACAUAAUAAUUGUGACAUAGAAACUAUGAUUUUGUUGCAUUUAUAAUAAUGCAUACUUUCAGUCUUGUCCAUGUAAUAAGAGAAUAGAUCUGUUUAUGUUAGAAUGAUGAAUAACGUUAUUCUGUAUAAAGAUCUGAUAAUUUUAGAAAGGCCACCCUUCAAAGAAGAGGAUUGUUCAUGCUUUGCUCUUGUAGGUCAGUCUGUCUGUUAGUAUACUGUGAAAUCAUUUUUAUUCGCGUAGGACGAAUUUUCGCGUAUUUCGCGCGAGGACCGAUGCGCGAAUUUAAGACUGCGCUAUUAUUAUAUUUUAAUUUUAUUUUUUCAUUUCUAAAAUUGAAAAUGCGCGAAUUAAAGCUGGUGCGAAACAGUCCUUUUUCACAUUUGCGCGAAAUUUCAUGCCAGCGAAUUUAAAUGAUUUCACAGUAAUUAGAUCAUUUAACCAUAAUGAUUGUUGAUCAGUAACUUGAGAAUGCAUGAGAAUAAAUAGGUCAUAAGAUGACCUUUGUUUUAAGGUAAUCAUAAGGUCAAAAGUCAAGGUCACUGACUUCAAGACUUCAAUUGGAUUCUGGUCAAAGUCACUGCAUACUAGUAUUUAAGACUGAAAAAUAUAUACCAAGUUACCUCUGCAAGGCAGUCAUGGGGACAUAUGUGUAACCGUUUUAUAAACAACCUUCGUCAGAACAUUGCUUAUAUUUGUUACUGUGUGUUUAGUAAAUAUAACAUAAUUAUGUAAAUUUAGUAAAGUGCUAGUGAGCAAAUGAGAGUUAUAAAUAAAAGUGCCUUUGAUAACAUGA
Molecule: long non-coding RNA, 1485 nt
Organism: Mercenaria mercenaria
Lineage: Eukaryota; Metazoa; Mollusca; Bivalvia; Venerida; Veneridae
Exons: 2
Source: RefSeq, a predicted model, not a curated record